RNAcentral lists this ribosomal RNA (477 nucleotides) under uncultured bacterium. RNAcentral describes it as "partial 16S ribosomal RNA". It matches the Rfam family "Bacterial small subunit ribosomal RNA", at positions 28 to 507 of the family's 1533-position model. The record is from RNAcentral.
GAUGAACGCUGGCGGCGUGCCUAACACAUGCAAGUCGAGCGAACAGAUGAGGAGCUUGCUCCUCUGACGUUAGCGGCGGACGGGUGAGUAACACGUGGAUAACCUACCUAUAAGACUGGGAUAACUUCGGGAAACCGGAGCUAAUACCGGAUAAUAUAUUGAACCGCAUGGUUCAAUAGUGAAAGACGGUUUUGCUGUCACUUAUAGAUGGAUCCGCGCCGCAUUAGCUAGUUGGUAAGGUAACGGCUUACCAAGGCAACGAUGCGUAGCCGACCUGAUAGGGGGACCGGAGAGAUUGGGACUGGGAUAAGGCACAGACGCGUAGGGGAGGCAGAAGUGGGGAAUAUUGAAAAACGUGAGGAAGCCGGAGGCAGAAACGCAGCGUGAGUGAUGACGGUCGUAGGGUUGUAAACAGAUUUAGCCGGGGAAGAAGAGGGAGGGACGGUAAUGGGUAAAGAAGCACCGGCGAACUACGGG